Molecule: ribosomal RNA, 160 nt
Filed under: Hypocreales sp.
Lineage: Eukaryota; Fungi; Ascomycota; Sordariomycetes; Hypocreales
Description: partial large subunit ribosomal RNA
Rfam family: Eukaryotic large subunit ribosomal RNA
Source: RNAcentral
CGGCAACAGCUCAAAUUUGAAAUCUGGCCUUUGGCCCGAGUUGUAAUUUGUAGAGGAUGCUUUUGGUGAGGUGCCGCCCGAGUUCCCUGGAACGGGACGCCACAGAGGGUGAGAAUCCCGUACGUGCCCGGUGGCCGCCCCCGUGUGAAGCUCCUUCGAC